GCUCCAUGUAAGAUUUCUUCCUUUCUGCCCAUUCCCCCCUCCCCGACCCCCAACCCACAGCAAAUCCACUUAGCAAGUGACUUUCAAUAUCAGUCGAAUUGCUGGGAGGGAAUUUUUCCUUUAAUGGAAAAAAAAAUCCUCUUCACACAGGUGCAAUGGCCUGCCUCAAUGAAGAAAGGCUACCUGGAUGCCCACAACAGAACCCAGUUUUGUACAAUAACCCCCUGCUGCAAUGUGAGGCUCCAGCUAACUGCAAAACCCGAAACCUAGCUGGGAAAUUGCCUACCUGCACAAAGAACAGAGACCCUAUCGUUUCAGGAUUCAGUUCUUUCCGAGCACUUUUAUAAAGGAGUUUUUGUCUGCCUUGUGAGGCUCCGACCACAGAGGAGCUGGAAAUCCAGAUCCUAUCAGCUUUCCUUGAAGGAGGUGUUACAGGGUGUUCAUUUUCCUGCUGUUUGCUUUCAGCACCCUCAGGCUCAAGAUCACCCUGGUCCAUGUGAGAGGCAAGACAAGAGAAGAUCAGCGGCAAAACAGGGGAGGAGAAGAGAGCUGAGAAGAUGUGAAGGAAGAGACCUAAACAGCUUCCCAGAACUAUUCCAAGUUCUCAAGGUAAAUGAGAAAUCCUCUGUGGCAGUGAAUAAAUGCCUCCCCCUCUCAAUGUCCAUGUUCUGAUCCCUGGAACCUGC
RNAcentral lists this long non-coding RNA (686 nucleotides) under Capra hircus (goat). RNAcentral describes it as "lncRNA (ENSCHIG00000003815.1)". Lineage: Eukaryota; Metazoa; Chordata; Mammalia; Artiodactyla; Bovidae. The record is from RNAcentral.